This 349-nucleotide ribosomal RNA is filed under the name uncultured bacterium. RNAcentral's name for it is "bacterial SSU rRNA". It matches the Rfam family "Bacterial small subunit ribosomal RNA", at positions 1027 to 1373 of the family's 1533-position model. The record is from RNAcentral.
ACCUAAGACAGGUGGUGCAUGGCUGUCCGUCCAGCUCCGUGUCGUGAGAUGUUGGGUUAAGUCCCGCAACGAGCGCAACCCCUUUCGUAUGUUACCAUCACUAAGUUGGGGACUCAUGCGAUACUGCCUGCGAUGAGCAGGAGGAAGGUGGGGAUGACGUCAAGUCAUCAUGCCCCUUAUACGCUGGGCUACACACGUGCUACAAUGGGUAGUACAGAGAGUCGCAAAGCCGUGAGGUGGAGCUAAUCUCAGAAAACUAUUCUUAGUUCGGAGUGUACUCUACCCUUCGCGUACAUGAAAUUGGAAUCGGUAGUAAUCGCAAAUCAGCAAUGUCACGGUAAUUACGUUC